RNAcentral lists this ribosomal RNA (460 nucleotides) under uncultured bacterium. RNAcentral describes it as "partial 16S ribosomal RNA". It matches the Rfam family "Bacterial small subunit ribosomal RNA", at positions 338 to 795 of the family's 1533-position model. The record is from RNAcentral.
CCUACGGGAGGCAGCAGUGAGGAAUAUUGGUCAAUGGACGAGAGUCUGAACCAGCCAAGUAGCGUGAAGGAUGACUGCCCUAUGGGUUGUAAACUUCUUUUAUAUGGGAAUAAAAUGUUCCACGUGUGGGAUUUUGUAUGUACCAUAUGAAUAAGGAUCGGCUAACUCCGUGCCAGCAGCAGCGGUAAUACGGAGGAUCCGAGCGUUAUCCGGAUUUAUUGGGUUUAAAGGGAGCGUAGGUGGAUUGUAAAGUCAGUUGUGAAAGUUUGCGGCUCAACCGUAAAAUUGCAGUUGAAACUGGCAGUCUUGAGUACAGUAGAGGUGGGCGGAAUUCGUGGUGUAGCGGUGAAAUGCUUAGAUAUCACGAAGAACUCCGAUUGCGAAGGCAGUUCACUGGACUGCAACUGACACUGAGGCUCGAAAGUGUGGGUAUCAAACAGGAUUAGAUACCCGUGUAGUC